Molecule: ribosomal RNA, 484 nt
Filed under: uncultured bacterium
Lineage: Bacteria
Description: partial 16S ribosomal RNA
Rfam family: Bacterial small subunit ribosomal RNA
Source: RNAcentral
CUUUCCCGCUGGCGGCAGGCCUAACACAUGCAAGUCGAGCGGAUGAAGGGAGCUUGCUCCUGGAUUCAGCGGCGGACGGGUGAGUAAUGCCUAGGAAUCUGCCUGGUAGUGGGGGAUAACGUCCGGAAACGGGCGCUAAUACCGCAUACGUCCUGAGGGAGAAAGUGGGGGAUCUUCGGACCUCACGCUAUCAGAUGAGCCUAGGUCGGAUUAGCUAGUUGGUGGGGUAAAGGCCUACCAAGGCGACGAUCCGUAACUGGUCUGAGAGGAUGAUCAGUCACACUGGAACUGAGACACGGUCCAGACUCCUACGGGAGGCAGCAGUGGGGAAUAUUGGACAAUGGGCGAAAGCCUGAUCCAGCCAUGCCGCGUGUGUGAAGAAGGUCUUCGGAUUGUAAAGCACUUUAAGUUGGGAGGAAGGGCAGUAAGUUAAUACCUUGCUGUUUUGACGUUACCAACAGAAUAAGCACCGGCUAACUUCGUG